UUCAGUUAUGCUUGAACCAUUAAUUGCGAUUAUUCACUCAACAGUCUCAACCAUUUCACUUCCAUCCCUAUAUAUAUGUCAUAACAAUCUUGCUGUCAUUCACUAUUUUUUCAUUUUGUAUACUUAGUUUUUUCCCAGCAAUCUACGAAGCACAGUAACAAGAUGAAGAUGAAUCGGAAAUCAUUAGAAAAAAGUCCCGGGACUUUUAAAAAAAUCGACCAUCUUUCUGAAAACUUAGACUUGACUGAGAAUGAGAGACUUGCCCUGGAACUGGAAUGGAUCUUAAACAAUAUUCAAACUCAUCCAAAGGAAGUUAUGGACUUGGUAAGGGCUCAUACAAACACAAAAGUGUGUUCUGAGGCGCACAAGCAACACACAGGAGAGCACGAAAAGUGCCGACGAGGUCUACGUCGUCAUCGUCGUACUAAUUGAUUUGCAAUACAAACUUCAACCAAGGCAAUCAAUUUUGUACUAAUCACUAUAUGCCCGAGUUCUUGGAUAAUCCUUGUAUCCCGAUGAUUUUUCCUUUAGCUUUUUGUUUUCUCAAGACUUCUUUUCUGUUGUAAUCUUUUGGAUUGGUAUUAAUAAUUUCUGUUGUAAUCUUUUGGAUUUGGUAUUAAUAAAAUUUGUUUGUU
Long non-coding RNA from Papaver somniferum (opium poppy), 635 nucleotides. RefSeq lists it as uncharacterized. The transcript is spliced from 3 exons. NCBI's taxonomy places the organism in Eukaryota, Viridiplantae, Streptophyta, Magnoliopsida, Ranunculales, Papaveraceae. The record is from RefSeq and is a predicted model, not a curated record.